GAUGAACGCUGGCGGCGUGCCUAAUACAUGCAAGUCGAGCGAACAGAUGAGGAGCUUGCUCCUCUGACGUUAGCGGCGGACGGGUGAGUAACACGUGGAUAACCUACCUAUAAGACUGGGAUAACUUCGGGAAACCGGAGCUAAUACCGGAUAAUAUAUUGAACCGCAUGGUUCAAUAGUGAAAGACGGUUUUGCUGUCACUUAUAGAUGGAUCCGCGCCGCAUUAGCUAGUUGGUAAGGUAACGGCUUACCAAGGCGACGAUGCGUAGCCGACCUGAGAGGGUGGUCGGCCACCCUGGAACUGAGACACGGUCCAGACUCCUACGGGAGGCAGCAGUAGGGAAUCUUCCGCAAUGGGCGAAAGCCUGACGGAGCAACGCCGCGUGAGUGAUGAAGGUCUUCGGAUCGUAAAACUCUGUUAUUAGGGAAGAACAAAUGUGUAAGUAACUAUGCACGUCUUGACGGUACCUAAUCAGAAAGCCACGGCUAACUACGUG
RNAcentral lists this ribosomal RNA (497 nucleotides) under uncultured bacterium. RNAcentral describes it as "partial 16S ribosomal RNA". It matches the Rfam family "Bacterial small subunit ribosomal RNA", at positions 28 to 507 of the family's 1533-position model. The record is from RNAcentral.